AGUGAACGCUGGCGGCGUGCUUAACACAUGCAAGUCGAACGAGAACGGAUUAUAGCUUGCUAUAAUUGUCAGCUAAGUGGCGCACGGGUGAGUAAUGUAUAGGUAAUAUGCCUCUUACUAAGGGAUAACAAUUGGAAACGAUUGCUAAUACCUUAUAUUCCUUUUUAUCAAAAGAUAAAACGGGAAAGAUUUAUUGGUAAGAGAUUAGCCUGUAUUGUAUCAGUUAGUUGGUGGGGUAAUGGCCUACCAAGAGAAUGACGCAUAACUGGUUUGAGAGGAUGAUCAGUCACACUGGAACUGAGACACGGUCCAGACUCCUACGGGAGGCAGCAGUGGGGAAUAUUGCACAAUGGACGAAAGUCUGAUGCAGCAACGCCGCGUGGAGGAUGACACAUUUCGGUGCGUAAACUCCUUUUAUAUAAGAAGAUAAUGACGGUAUUAUAUGAAUAAGCACCGGCUAACUCCGUGCCAGCCGCCGCCGUAA
This 484-nucleotide ribosomal RNA is filed under the name uncultured bacterium. RNAcentral describes it as "partial 16S ribosomal RNA". It matches the Rfam family "Bacterial small subunit ribosomal RNA", at positions 29 to 523 of the family's 1533-position model. The record is from RNAcentral.